This is a small nucleolar RNA of Zingiber officinale, 213 nucleotides long. RefSeq annotates it as small nucleolar RNA U3. The record is from RefSeq and is a predicted model, not a curated record. The transcript has a single exon. NCBI's taxonomy places the organism in Eukaryota, Viridiplantae, Streptophyta, Magnoliopsida, Zingiberales, Zingiberaceae.
AUGACCUUACUUGAACAAGAUCUGUUCUAUAGGCUCGUACCACUGUGUCCUUGAGUGUUAAGGAGACAUGCAACACAGUCUGGUUGAUGACAUGAAAUCUCGAGAUCAGGGCAUGAUUAAUGGCUAAGGUUCCUUGGAACCGACUGCUGUGGAGGAUUGGUUCUUAGCAAAUCCUGGAUCUGCUGGGGUGGUCUUGAGAUUAUCUGACAGAUC